Molecule: ribosomal RNA, 253 nt
Filed under: uncultured bacterium
Lineage: Bacteria
Description: partial 16S ribosomal RNA
Rfam family: Bacterial small subunit ribosomal RNA
Source: RNAcentral
UACGUAGGGGGCAAGCGUUGUCCGGAUUUAUUGGGCGUAAAGAGCGUGUAGGCGGCCAAACAGGUCCGUUGUGAAAACUGGAAGCUCAACUUCCAGACGUCGACGGAAACCGUGUGGCUAGAGUCCGGAAGAGGAGAGUGGAAUUCCUGGUGUAGCGGUGAAAUGCGCAGAUAUCAGGAAGAACACCAAUGGCGAAGGCAGCUCUCUGGGACGGUACUGACGCUGAGACGCGAAAGCGUGGGGAGCGAACAGG